AAGGGAAGAUCAAUACUGGCUUUCCAACAGGAAAGAAAUGCAGCAGCUGAAGAAAUCUUCUGGGAUAUCCAUGAAAGAACUCUGGGAGCGGAAGACUAAACUUGAGAGCAGCACUGCAUUGCAGGGACAGAGGGAAUGCCAUGCCUAGAUCAGCCAGCUUAAAGAAUGACUAAUGAGGUUCCUGCUCUUAACAUGGCAGCCAGUGAGGAGGGGCUCCAAAGCUGAAGAGACCCGAAAGAAAUAGAACUCCAGUUACUGCCUUGGAUCCAUCGACAGAGACACCAGACUGUCAAACACUAAAUCAGAGAGUAUAUUUCCUGCUGCUUCCAUCACAUCAAAAAGACACAGAGAGCCAGAGAGACUCCCCAUGGUGACUUUCAGACAUGACAUUUCCGCAUCAUUUCUGUCUCAGUUGAGGCAACUAUUUGUGGCAUUUAAAUACUGUGCUAUACAAUCGUAUUCUUAUUGUCUUAACCCCACACUUUUUUAAAGCUCACUCUGGCACAUUCAGCACAAAAAGCCAAAAUCAAUGGUUCUGCUUUCAAUAAGCUCUCUGGGAAAUGGAACACAAGAAAUCAUUGGGUAGCUAACUGCCAGUCUGCAUAUGUCACUUUCUGACUGUUGCCAGUCAGAAAACAUUUUAUCUCAUUAGAUUCUGUAACAUUUAGGAUUUGAGUGUUCUAGAUAGAGCACUGGUCACCUUUCCCCCUUUUAGUCACCCGUUUAAAUUAAGGUCGACGGAGCCAUGUAGAUG
Molecule: non-coding RNA, 754 nt
Organism: Pelodiscus sinensis (Chinese soft-shelled turtle)
Lineage: Eukaryota; Metazoa; Chordata; Testudines; Trionychidae
Source: RefSeq, a predicted model, not a curated record